This 405-nucleotide ribosomal RNA is filed under the name uncultured bacterium. Its description in RNAcentral is "bacterial SSU rRNA". It matches the Rfam family "Bacterial small subunit ribosomal RNA", at positions 355 to 776 of the family's 1533-position model. The record is from RNAcentral.
UGGGGAAUCUUGCACAAUGGGCGAAAGCCUGAUGCAGCAACGCCGCGUGGGGGAUGACUGCCCUCGGGUUGUAAACCCCUUUCAGCAGGGACGAAACUGACGGUACCUGCAGAAGAAGCCCCGGCCAACUACGUGCCAGCAGCCGCGGUAAGACGUAGGGGGCGAGCGUUGUCCGGAUUUAUUGGGCGUAAAGGGCUCGUAGGCGGUUUGGCAAGUCGGAUGUGAAACCUCCAGGCUUAACCUGGAGACGCCAUUCGAUACUGCUAUGACUUGAGUUCGGUAGGGGCGCAUGGAAUACCCGGUGUAGCGGUGAAAUGCUUAGAUAUCGGGUGGAACACCAGUGGCGAAGGCGGUGCGCUGGGCCGAAACUGACGCUGAUGAGCGAAAGCGUGGGUAGCAAACAGG